UACGGGGGGGGCAAGCGUUGUUCGGAAUUACUGGGCGUAAAGGGUGCGUAGGCGGCCAACUAAGUCAGACGUGAAAUCCCCAGGCUUAACCUGGGAACUGCGUCUGAUACUGGAUGGCUUGAAUUCGGGAGAGGGAUGCAGAAUUCCAGGUGUAGCGGUGAAAUGCGUAGAUAUCUGGAGGAAUACCGGUGGCGAAGGCGGCAUCCUGGACCGAGAUUGACACUGAUGAGCGAAAGCCAGGGGAGCAAACGGG
This 253-nucleotide ribosomal RNA is filed under the name uncultured bacterium. Its description in RNAcentral is "partial 16S ribosomal RNA". It matches the Rfam family "Bacterial small subunit ribosomal RNA", at positions 524 to 776 of the family's 1533-position model. The record is from RNAcentral.